Molecule: long non-coding RNA, 244 nt
Filed under: Fukomys damarensis (Damara mole-rat)
Lineage: Eukaryota; Metazoa; Chordata; Mammalia; Rodentia; Bathyergidae
Description: lncRNA (ENSFDAG00000021762.1)
Source: RNAcentral
CACACUUUCUCUUCUCUGGCAGUGUAACAUGGAUUUACACCAGCAGAAGUAAAGGAGCUUCCAGGUUGUCCGUCUCAGAGUGACACCGCGUGUUUGCUUCCCUUAUGUUCUGAGGCUUCUACCUUACAGGAAGAAGAUCACACAUGAACAAAGACAGUAAGGGACAUCUAAAGACGCAAAGGUAAUGAUAACUGCAUGAUGGUGAGAUAACUUGAAAGAGUCCAGAUCUGCUACUACCCAUUCC